GUUGAAGAGACACUCCACAGGCUGUAUGCAUGCUAUGAAGAGAUGACGACUCCAAUCACUCCACCAUCGGCUUCAUCAAAGGAGGCUACCAAAAAUAGUAGUUCAAGUCCUUCACAACCUGCUUUCGAUCUUUCUAAACAAAUUCCUUCUAUUUUUAAAGCUAAACUUAUGCAAAACAUGCAAUCUGAGAAGAAUGAUUUGGUUGAUUAUUUGUCUGAUCGUUGUGAAGAUUUAACCGAUCCCAAAUUUGACGUAUUAGUAUGGUGGAAAUUGAACGCGCACAAGUACAAAAUUCUCUCUAAAAUUGCCAAAGAUGUAUUAGCAAUUCAAAUAUCCACGGUUGCUUCAGAGUCGGCAUUUAUCACGAGUGGUUGGAUUCUUGACUCCUUUAGGAGUUCAUUGAGUGCAAAGAUGGUUGAUG
RNAcentral lists this long non-coding RNA (421 nucleotides) under Olea europaea subsp. europaea. Lineage: Eukaryota; Viridiplantae; Streptophyta; Magnoliopsida; Lamiales; Oleaceae. The record is from RNAcentral.